Stegodyphus mimosarum is the source of this 73-nucleotide non-coding RNA. NCBI's taxonomy places the organism in Eukaryota, Metazoa, Arthropoda, Arachnida, Araneae, Eresidae. The record is from Rfam.
GCCUUCGUCAUGUAGUGGUCAGCACACCCGACGCAUAACCGAGAGGUCCGUGGUUCGAUUCCCGGCGGAGGCG